Molecule: ribosomal RNA, 482 nt
Filed under: uncultured bacterium
Lineage: Bacteria
Description: partial 16S ribosomal RNA
Rfam family: Bacterial small subunit ribosomal RNA
Source: RNAcentral
AUUGAACGCUGGCGGCAUGCCUUACACAUGCAAGUCGAACGGUAACGGGCCUUCGGGUGCCGACGAGUGGCGAACGGGUGAGUAAUACAUCGGAACGUGCCCGAUCGUGGGGGAUAACGAGGCGAAAGCUUUGCUAAUACCGCAUACGAUCUACGGAUGAAAGCCGGGGACCGCAAGGCCUUGCGCGGACGGAGCGGCCGAUGGCAGAUUAGGGAGUUGGUGGGAUAAAAGCUUACCAAGCCGAGGAUAUGCAGCUGGUCUGAGAGGAUGAACAGCCACACUGGGACUGAGACACGGCCCAGACUCCUACGGGAGGCAGCAGUGGGGAAUUUUGGACAAUGGGCGCAAGCCUGAUCCAGCCAUGCCGCGUGCAGGAUGAAGGCCUUCGGGUUGUAAACUGCUUUUGUACGGAACGAAAAGCCUUCUUUUAAUACAGGAGGGUCAUGACGGUACCGAAAGAAUAAGCACCGGCUAACUACGUG